GAGUUUGAUCAUGGCUCAGAACGAACGCUGGCGGCGCGCCUAACACAUGCAAGUCGAACGAGAAUCCGGGGCAACCCGGUAGUAAAGUGGCAAACGGGUGAGGAAUACAUGGGUAACCUACCCUUGAGAAGGGAAUAACCCGCCGAAAGGUGAGCUAAUACCCUAUACGCUAUCAUUUUUACGAAAAAGAUAGGAAAGCCGGGUCGAGGACUUGGCACUCAAGGAGGGGCUCAUGUCCUAUCAGCUUGUUGGUGGGGUAACGGCCUACCAAGGCUACGACGGGUAGCUGGUCUGAGAGGAUGAUCAGCCACACUGGCACUGAGAUACGGGCCAGACUCCUACGGGAGGCAGCAGUGAGGAAUAUUGCGCAAUGGGCGAAAGCCUGACGCAGCGACGCCGCGUGGGGGAUGAAGGUUUUCGGAUUGUAAACCCCUUUCAUGAGGAAAGAUAAAGUGGGUAACCACUUAGACGGUACCUCAAGAAGAAGCCACGGCUAACUUCGUGCCAGCAGCCGCGGUAAUACGAAGGUGGCAAGCGUUGUUCGGAUUUACUGGGCGUAAAGAGCACGUAGGCGGUUGGGAAAGCCUUUUGGGAAAUCUCCCGGCUUAACCGGGAAAGGUCGAGAGGAACUAUUCAGCUAGAGGACGGGAGAGGAGCGCGGAAUUCCCG
Molecule: ribosomal RNA, 669 nt
Filed under: uncultured bacterium
Lineage: Bacteria
Description: bacterial SSU rRNA
Rfam family: Bacterial small subunit ribosomal RNA
Source: RNAcentral